RNAcentral lists this ribosomal RNA (253 nucleotides) under uncultured bacterium. RNAcentral describes it as "partial 16S ribosomal RNA". It matches the Rfam family "Bacterial small subunit ribosomal RNA", at positions 524 to 776 of the family's 1533-position model. The record is from RNAcentral.
UACGUAGGUGGCAAGCGUUAUCCGGAAUUAUUGGGCGUAAAGCGCGCGCAGGUGGUUUCUUAAGUCUGAUGUGAAAGCCCACGGCUCAACCGUGGAGGGUCAUUGGAAACUGGGAGACUUGAGUGCAGAAGAGGAAAGUGGAAUUCCAUGUGUAGCGGUGAAAUGCGUAGAUAUCAGGAAGAACACCCGCGGCGAAGGCGGCUCUCUGGGACGGUACUGACGCUGAGACGCGAAAGCGUGGGGAGCGAACAGG